CACAGAAGAUUUAGUAUGUUCACAUAAACAGAAGUCUUCUAUAUUAACUUUCUACAAUGUACAUAUCAUACAUCCUACAUUCAUAGACACACAUAUACAACAACAACAAAAAAGCAGAAUCAAACCCCAAAUAAAAAAGAAAAUAAGCAACAACUUGGAGAAACAUUAGACUAAGCGUCAGACCAUGUGAUAUCCAAGUGACCCCAGUCGUCCUCAGAUACACCUAAGGCUUUCCAGACAGCCUUGGAGGCAUCAACAUGUUAUCAAAAUGAAAAUUAACUAAGAAUCAAUCAGCGAGUGAGUGUGGAAGAGGAGGGAUUUACUUGGAUAUUCGUGUUAUGCCAUUUGCAGAGAAGGGCUUGCCAUCAUUGUUGAGGUCCAAAGAACAAGUCUCCUAGAUUUGGGUUCUACGGACCAAGAGAAAAAGAGAGGAGACGAAGAAAAAAAGAGACAUGCCCAGCUGGGAGGAGAAAGAGAUGAGUUUAGUAUUCACAUUUUUAUGAAUUAGCAUAUGUAUUUAUUAAUACAAGCUAAUUUUGUUUUAUGUCUGUAUACCACUUGCUUGCUGCGUCAAUUCAGAUAAUGAGAGGAAAAAAAAAAAAAAGUUAAAAGGUCAUAGUCUUGGUUUUUGUGUCCAUCAUCAUUUUAGGUUCUCUGCUUUUUGAAGGCCAUCAACUCCUCUUUGGUUGUGCUUCUCUAUUCCUUAACAAGGGAGUGGUUUCUGGGACUAGUUAUGGUGGAUGUAUCAGAACUUAAAAAAAAAAAAAAAAAAAAAAAAAAAAACCUUUUAUCAAGCCAUAGUCAUGAUUCAAGUUUUCCAUGAUUGUGGACGUCUGAAACACCAUUCAUAUUGCAACUCUUUCUUGAUUGCGGCUUUAUUAGAAUCUUUCUGUGGUUUGCAAUAUAUCUUGAAUUUGAACCACCACCCAAAGAUAGAAAAAGGUCCUAUGCUGGAUACUAGUUCUGUAUCCUUAUGUUCAGAUUGAGAAGAAAUCCAGGCACCAAGUAAAGUUCAAAAGGGUAGUUGAAAAAUCUGUUUUUUAGGUUAUACUUGUCCUUUCCAUCAUUGUGUCCUAUACAGAAUUAACACUUUCUCGCUAUUGCAUGUGUAGACUGGAAUUCAGCUAUUAAAAUAGAAGUUCCUAUGCUUGCUCUGUAGUUGUUAGAAGAACCAUUCUGUUAAUCAUGGUUGCAUAAAAGAUUCAGGUAUUAGGAGGGAUCUAAUUUAUGAAAUCCUUUUCCGAUAAGAGGCUGAUGGAAAAUUGGACAAAGAGUUCAGUGGUGAUGAGACUGCAAGAAUGAUUUGGGCAGCAGCAGAUAGAGUUACUGAAAUUGAAUGUGGAGGCAGUCAUGGAUUCAUAGCAAAGAGUGGGAAUUAGGAUGCAAGAACAAUUGUCAAGGACUGGACUCAUUUUCUCCUUCUGUAAAGGUCACGAGAAAGAUAACUUAGUAAGCUAGGAGUUGGUGGGUAGAUGGAAGGAGAAUGGAGGUGGGAGCAAUUUGAUCGGGCAAUAAAGAACUUCAUAGGAGAUAUCAUUGGGAGCCAUAUUCCUUGUGGCAGGGUACGGCUGAGAAUGGAUGGCUAAGCCACUGUAUAAGACAAUCUCACAUCCUCUUUAGAGUGCUGCAAAUUUGUAUUGUGGAAUGAGGAGAAGAUGAGAUUUGGGGAAGCGGUUGUACAAGUCGUUUAUGCAGCUGCUGUUUCCCAGAUAUUUGGGCUCCUGUUUCACUUGUGCCUUUACAAGGCAGAAUGGUUUGGGUGUUAUCUGUAAAAUUUUAAUAUUUGACAGAUAUCAUUUUGGUCAGAAUCUCAUUAUAUGACCUUUAAUGUUCUUAAAUUGAAAUUGAUUGUUACUGAA
Molecule: long non-coding RNA, 1859 nt
Organism: Rosa chinensis
Lineage: Eukaryota; Viridiplantae; Streptophyta; Magnoliopsida; Rosales; Rosaceae
Exons: 3
Source: RefSeq, a predicted model, not a curated record